CAGCACCUCAAGUGGGUCAGGGAUGAUUAUUGGGCCUAAAGCAUCCGUAGCCUGCUUUGUUAGUUUUCGGUUAAAUCCAUACGCUUAACGUAUGGGCUGCCGGAAAUACUGCAAAGCUAGGGAGUGGGAGAGGUAGACGGUACUCGGUAGGAAGGGGUAAAAUCCUUUGAUCUAUUGAUGACCACCUGUGGCGAAGGCGGUCUACCAGAACACGUCCGACGGUGAGGGAUGAAAGCUGGGGGAGCAAACUGGAUUAGAUACCCGGGUAGUCCCAGCUGUAAACUAUGCAAACUCGGUGAUGCAUUGGCUUGAUGCCAAUGCAGUGCCGCAGGGAAGCCGUUAAGUUUGCCGCCUGGGAAGUACGUACGCAAAGUAUG
RNAcentral lists this ribosomal RNA (377 nucleotides) under uncultured organism. RNAcentral's name for it is "partial 16S ribosomal RNA". It matches the Rfam family "Archaeal small subunit ribosomal RNA", at positions 477 to 851 of the family's 1478-position model. The record is from RNAcentral.